Molecule: long non-coding RNA, 9351 nt
Organism: Onychostoma macrolepis
Lineage: Eukaryota; Metazoa; Chordata; Actinopteri; Cypriniformes; Cyprinidae
Exons: 4
Source: RefSeq, a predicted model, not a curated record
UAUUACCAGGCUAACAUAUAGCACCUGGUACUGUAUAAAGAACCUGUCAAGCCUCAGAAUGGUUCUUCAGCGGUUCUUUGGGGUGGUUAAGGUGCUAUAUAGCACCACUGCCGUUUAUAAAGAAGCCAUUAAGUUUUUAAACUGUGUUUGCACUUGGAUGGGAUUAAUGCAGAACACAAAUUCCAAGUAUGGGUUACCAUACUUGCCCACACCUCACUUCAUAAUACUCCAAAUUAAAUUAAACUUAAUUUACUAAUUAUAGAUUAUUAUCAGAUUAUAAUUUAUAAUAUAUAUAUACACAAACGCACACAAUCUUUUUUUUAACAAUUUAAUGAACACACAAAAUAAAAUGUCUCUGUAACUCAUUUACACAUACCAUAUAAAUGUAAAAUCACUAAAGAGUUAAAGCUCUGUUGUUGAAUUAUCCACAAGUUUUUUUCCCCCUCAUAUUUCAGAACCAUCACCUAUCCACCUUUUUCUUGCCGUAAAAAUUGGGCGUGGCCAUUUGUAAAUUCUAUGGGUCUAGCUUGCGGUCUCAUCCGCGUCCAGCUAAUUUUAGCUGUACAAAACAGUUCAUUGUGCUGCUUGAUAUUGAAAAUUUGUGUGUCUUACAAUAUUAUUUUAAUGUAUUAUCUUAAUUAUGAAUACACUGGUUUGUAGUGCAAACAGUUUUACCGUUUACUGCGUUGUUAUGAAAUCACUUUGUAGGCGGAUCGGCUGUUUGCAUGGUUCCUCGACAAAAGCCAAUAGGAUUUUUUCAUAGGCUUUUGGAUUAUCGCAAAAAAUAAGCUCUGUGUUCAAUCAUAGUUCAUGAAACUUACACGUAACUUUGAUGAAUUUUGAAGCCUAAAUAAAAGCGCCAGAACUGAAAAGCUAAACUUAAGCUAUAAAUGAACUACACCACGGUCGCUCGCCUUCAACGUCACCACCAGCCCGCUCCUGACAACUGUUUCAAACUUAUUUUUAACGUUCAGUGAAAAGUAUUUACUCUGUAUAUGAAUAUAAUCCACGCUACAUGAACCUUUUCAUAUAAACUGGAAUAAAUACAAAACUGGAGCCAAACUGAAAUGAGACAUUAGUAAUAAAUAGUUUAGUGAAUAAAUGAAAUAAUCUUAACUAAAGGACAUUUAAAGCACGUAUUUCUGUACAUUUCGAAAUAAGGGCUUGUCAUAUGACACACAGCAGCCACAAUACCACUGUAUAACUGAUAUAGGCUUAUGUAUUAUUAUUUUUUUAUUCAAAAUAUUCCCAAAAUAUAUCAUGAAAUAUCUCGAUUCUCAAAUAUGUGUAAGUAAAUGCAUUUUGCACCUUUAUAGAUUAUGUUAGUUGAUCUAUAAUGGGCGAUAGGCAAAGUAGCCUUAAGUACCAGAUGUCAUACCAUAAAAUGAGUGUCACACCAUAAACAUAUAAUACGACUGACUUUGUAUUUUAUGUGGAUUUAAUAAAAACAUUGUAAGUUACUACCCAGCAAACACGUUAAUGUGGGGCCCACAUGGGUUUCACAUGGCCUACAGGGGUACAGAGUGGGCAUGGGCUCAAAAUGGGCAUCUUAUCUGGGGCCCACUUGGGUGGCCCAGCUAGGACCCACACGGGUGAAACCAGGUGGGCAUCUUAUCUGGGGCCCACUUGGGUGACUCAGCUAAGACCCACAUGGGUGAACAGGUGGGCAUCUUAUCUGGGGCCCACUUGGGUGAACCCAGGUGGGCUCCCCAUGUGGUUCCCAGUUGGGUAAUUAAUGGGAAAUGUGUGCAUGGGCUCAAAAUGGGCUACACAUGGGACCCUAUUUGUUUUAUCAAAUAUACAAGUGCAAACAUAAUUAUUCCCAUGGGGUGAUUACAUAUGUAUAUAUAUAUGCACAUAUGUGUCUUUAAAAUGAUUUUUGUUGUUGUUUUGACACUUGGACUACUAUUAUCAAAAUAAAAAAAAAUCCCCCUCCUUUUUUUUAUUACAGUCUAUGAUUCCAACACUCAUUCUACCCAAUUUUCCACUGACAUUUAGCCCAAAAAAAUGCAGCCACUUUAAUUGUGCUGACAACUCGAGAUCUCCCAAGUUCCAUCGAGAUCCCAUUCCCCACGACAUCAAACUACCGCGAGAUGCAGCCCUGCCUCGAUCUGCAUGCAGUGUGGAUCCCGCGAGAUUUCAUUCAGCAAUUCCUAUCCCCCACGCAGCACACGCUGCAUCGCGCCGACGCCAGUGUUGCCAACUUAGCAAUUUUGUUGCUAAAUUUAGCAACUUUUCACACUACCCUAGCAACUUUUUCUUCCAAAAGCACCUAGCAACAAAUUUAGCUAUUUUUAAAAUUUAUUUGGCAACUUUUAGCAACUUUUGAUAAGUGAUUUAAACGAUAAAAAGGCAAACAAUUUCCAUCUAAAUUACACAAAACGAGGAAACUAAAGAUGCCUAGCAGUACACACAUCACACGAAUUAGGUUAGCUGCUAUUUGCAAUUGUUCAAUUUAAUAAUAAUUGUUCAUUUAUGAUACACCUUAGCUUGUACCUGCGAUUGUUGAUCAGUUAGUAGACUGUAAAAAACAAAUAUCUAGAAAAAUGGAAAAGGUACUAGUAAUUUUUCAGGACAUUAUGUGUUAUCCAUUAUCCGUUGUAACCCUGUAACCUGAAAACACAAAAUACAAUGCGUAAUUUAAAAUGCAGGUAAAAAAAACAACAACAAAAAAAAAAAACACAUGAAAAAUCAAUACAGAAAAUUCCUUCACAUUAACAUAGUAGAUUGUGCCCUACUUUUACAGACUUUACUUAAAGUGUAACACACUAACUACUAAUACACUGCUUAAAACUAUAACUGUUCAGAAUGUGUAGUUUUACUGGUUUACUAGCUAAUAAAAAAAACAACAACUUAAAUUGUAAUUGUUCAAAAAUGUGUAAAUGUUCAAUAAUUCAAUGUUGUAUUUAAAAAUACAUUUAAAUUUUUUAAUAUUAUAUUACGUUAUAUUAUUUUACAAACAAAUCUAAAUUAACUAUAUAUAUUUUUGCUGCGAUUUGAUGCAGUUUUGUCAGCAAUGUCAUUUAGCAACUUUUAGCAACAGAUCGACCUUCCUUUAGCAACUUCCCCUGAAAAUUAGUUGGCAACACUGGCCGACGCCAUUAUACUCACUGACUGCUUUGCUGUAAUUUUCGAGAGAAGACGUUUGCUGUCAGUGUAACCAAGGUAAGAAUUGGAGCAUGUAGAAAAUGUAGAGCAUGUAAUUACAUUGUUUACAUGUACAUGUACAUGUUAACCGAAACAUAGUUUGGCUUUUGUCACGUUAGAAUUUAGACCUCAUACUCAGAUCGCGCCAUAUUUUUCCUCUUAUUUCUGGCGCCAAUGUCUAACGUUAAACGAUAAUGCUGUAUUGGUGUUCCCUACGCCCUCUAAAACUAAAAAAACACUAAAAAAGAUGUUGGUGCAGUGGAGCAGAAACUGGCAGACCCCACCUUCCAGAAACAAGUGGUUGCUGUGGUGGCAGAAAUUGGAGGCAGUACUGUGGAUGAAGCCACGAGAAGAAUGAGGGCCUUCCUUUUGGACCACCCCUUAUCAAGAGAGUUCAAUUUUGUUGGCCGGCAUGGAAAGUGAGAGUUUCGGGGGCUCAAACUGCUUGAGGUUGUAUAAGGUAUGUUUACUUGCUGUUGGAUUAUUAACUUUCAUGUGCAAACAGAGGUUAUUUGGUAGAGUUGAGUUUGUUCUUCAUAAAUCAGUGGAAUCAAAUCAGUUUGAUUGAAUGCAAAUAAUUGUCCAUAUUUGGACAAGCAAUACCCCAAAUUAUGAGAAUAUGAACCAGGUGUACUGCUUAUUUUAGUGAUAAGUAACUGUUCAUUUGUGGUGAAGCGAUCACAAAAAGAGUUUAAAAUAAAUAACAUUCAAACUUUAUUAAAGACAAGUACACUAAUACAAGUGAAGUGAUAAUAAAAUAAGAACAAAUGAAGACAUCAGAUGCAAAAAACGUCAGAAAUUUUCAGGCUCUUAUGUUUAUGUUCAGUUAUUUCACUGUAAUGGCAAUGAAUUGAAUGAUGACCUAUAUUUGCCUGAUAAAAAUUAUAAUUUUUUAAAGAGAAUUUCAGAUGCACAUAUUUUGACAUUUGUGAUUAAAUGAGACAAAUAAAAUUUUUGUGUGAACUAUGCCUUUAAAUGUUGCCCUGUGCCCUCGUUUACACAGAAAUCAUUUAUGAUAGAAUAUUAUAUCCGAUACCAUUAUUGUACAUCCUGAAAAAAUUAAAAAUGGAGAUGACUGCUUAUUUAUUGCAAGGGCUUAAAUAUGGAAUUUAAUCUAACUUUAAUGCUUUUGAUGUGCUUUACAGGAAGCUUGAAAUAAAUUCUCUUAACCAAAUUACCAGAAAAGAGGCAGAAAAGUCAGCGUCAAAGUGGCUCAUCGGUGACGGGAGGAAACCGCUCUGCGAAGUCACGUAGUAGAGAGCAAGAUAGGUAAGUCUUAAGAUAUUCGUGAUUAUUAAAUGGAAAUACAAUCUUUAAAAAGACAAGAAUCGUCUGUUUUAACUGUGAAAAAGUGGCACAGUGGUUGAUUAAUUGUUGUCUUUUCAAAGGGAGAGCGAGGACAGAGGUGUGAGGAGCUGCACGGUUGGAUUGUUUGUUUGUGAAAUAAUGUAUUUUACAGUUUUCAGAUAUGUGUAUACAAAUGAUACAAGUUAUUCCAAAUAAUGUUUGGCAGGAGCUUCACUUUAACUUUUUUUUUAAGAUGCUUAUGUUUUAUAAAGUUGUAAAUACACAAGUUAUAAUGGUCAUGUUCAAAUUAUUCCAACGAAACCUUGUUUAAAGCAUGCAGAAUACAAGUUAUGAAGAUUUUUUUUAUACAAGAAAUAAAGUUUUUCAGGAGCUUAAAAUUAACUUUUUUUAUAUACUUGUUUUAUAAAGUUGUAAAUGUACAAGUUAUAAUAGUAAUGUUUAAAUUAUUCCAAAUAAACUUUGCUUAAAAGCAUGAACUACUGGUUUCUGUUAAUUGAAUGCCUUUAGCAUUUUAGUAGCAUUUUUUAAAUGUAUUGUUUGUAUUUAGGGGUGUACUGUAAAAUAAGGUAACCCAAACAGACAAAUGUUAGCCUAUGUGUAUACUUGUUGUGACCCAUAAGAGACCUACAUAAGACCUAGCUGGGUCCCAUCUCUAACCCAUGUAGGCAGGCUCAUGUAGGCACCAAAUGGGAGCUACCUGGUUAACCCGUAUGGGCCCUAUAUGGAGCCCAUCAAGGGCCCAUCUUCAGCCCAUCUGGGCUAACCCAUGUUGGGCCACCAUGGAAACUGAGGACAAAAUUAGCUGGGUCCCAGUUGGGUAGCCCAGAUGGGCCCAAGAUAUCGGCCCAGUUGCAACCCUUAUGGGCCCCACAUGGAUGUGUUGGCUGGGUAAUUACGUUAGCCCAUAACACUUUCAUUAUACAAAAAGAGCAAAGAACGUUUACAUUAUCAAAGAACGUUUUCGCUUCAGUCCAGCGGGUUCAAGCACUCUCAAAAACUUGCAUGAUAAUCUCUAAAGCUGUUUACACUGUGAAAUUAAUAUCUUACUUACAUUCGUACAUCUUCACUUUGUUGUUUCUGAGGAGAGAAUUCAGUCAGAGAGCGCGCGCAGUGACGAAAUAGCGGCACUUCGGCCAUGACUCAUCUGAACGCUUCUGAUUGGACCAUGCAUUCAUAAGCUCAACAGAAUCGUAUGUGAUUGGUUAUAAUGCGCAGUGCUUUACAAACUUGUGUGUCUCUGGCUCUGUGCCAGCCAGCGAACACAGAUUUGAAUUUAACAGCUGUUUUUCUUUUUAUAUAGUUUACAGGACAAACUGCGCAUUUCACCCAAAAUUGUUUGGUGUGAUAUGAUUCCAAAUUUAGGGGGGCCAAGCUUGUUGUAGCUUGCACUGGCCCCCCUCUCAUCAGCAGCAACAUGUAUAUAAACCACGUGGUAUUAAAGAGACAACUCGCACAAUGGGUCCAAGUAAAGUUGUUUACAAAUGUGUCAGCUGCAAUAAUUUAAGAUAUUAGAAGACAUGUUUGUCGUAAGAGUUUUAUAGUAACAAUAUAGCAUAUCAACAUGAUGAUGUAGUUGUUUAUAUUUUUAGCUUCACUGCAAGGCAAGUUUAUUUAUAUACCAAAUUUCAUACACAAUGGUAAUUAAGUGCUUUACUUAAGAAUGGACAGUAAGGGCAGUGACUGUAACAUCGAGCGUAUUUUGCAGUAUUAAAAACUUAUUUAUACCAAUUUCAUCAGGCUCUGAAAAUUCUUCAAAAAGAACACAAAGAAUGGCCUUCUCAGUUGCCAUAGUUGCAACUCUUGCGUCAUCAGAACAGGGUGUUCAACGCAGCACCGUUUCCGUUUAAAAAACGUUUUGCAAUGUUUAGACGGGGCUGAACGCAGCCAUGACUAGACCAGUCAAUGCACAUGCGCAGUAAGCAUGUUAUGACUCCGCAUACACAUUGGCUGGUCUAGCCUGAAAAAUAAACUUUUUAAACGCUAUUUGUGCAUAAGAAACAACAUUCAUGUGGCAAUUAAUUUCAGAUUUUUGUUGGUGAUGUGACAUAUGUAAUUUAAUUGGGAGUUCAGCAAGCAGUUUUUGAGAUUUCAGGAUUCCCCCAUUCAUUAAGAUAGGACUUGUAUGAGCUGCCUGGAGGCGUUACAAAUAUGGCCGCCGAGUGAAGAGACUUUCCUCGAAAGGGAGUUUGUUUGAAAAUGAUUUAUUUUAAUUUUAAUUUUUUAUGAUUUAAUUAAUUGUCAGCUUUUCAUUAAUUUCACAACCCCCCUGCACAUGGGCGUCGCUAGGCCAUUUUUAGGGGGGCUUUAGCACCUUUCUGCGCGUUCUUCAAUCCACAGACUGCGGUGGCGCAGAGGUGUGUGUUUAUCGAUAGAUUGUUAUAAUAUCUACAUCUAUGCAGUUCUUUGUCAUAAAUACAGUUUACAAAAAGUCAUGGGAGAGCAAUCGGUUUCCAAUCUACUGUAAAGUUUUCGCUGCAUUCACCACUCAUCACACCACAGCUGUUUCCUUCAGCGAAAGCCCUUAACACAUAUGAACGCAUACUUUAUAAAACGAUCACGUUAUUGCUAUUUUCAUUUGGAAAUUUAGCUUUCAAUAUAGAACAUAAUAUUACAGUGCAUGUGGCAUUAACUACCAUACAGUUAUGCAUAGAAAUGAUUAAAGACAGUGACCGACAGCCCUCAGUCAGUGCACUCAUUUUAAUUGCUUGUUAAUUUUUUGUACAAAUUUUCAAUCAAUUUUUUUGUAAAUAUUUAUUUAUUUUUUUGUUAUUAUACCCUCAUUGGGGGCUGAGCCCCCCUAAAAUGAAAAUCCUAGAAUCGUCCCUGUCCCUGCAGUUCCUUUACGAACCCUAGUUUCGGAAACCUUGAUGCACUUCAUGUUGUACAUUACAAUGAAUGGAACAAGUUUUCUUACUCUUUGCAUUUGUUUUACAUCAUUAUGGUACAAGAUAAUGUUAUUUAAAUCAAUGUGAUAAACGAGUUAAAUCGAAAGUAAUCUAAAAGUAAUCUGAUUAUAUUACCUAAAAUUUGUAAUGUAACGGAUUACAUUACUGACUACAAUUUUUGUCAUGUAAUCUGGAAUCAGUGACGGAUUACAAUUUGUAAGUAAUCUACCCAGCUCUGUUUAUAACAUCAUAUUGUUUUACAACAACAUUUAAGUGAUGUGCGCUCCUAAACUUUUCUCAGAAUGACAUUUGCUUUGAUUCACGAUGUGGAGCAGGCAAAGUCAUAGAGGUUACAAUUAUCAACAAGACACCUAAAGUAAGUGUUAUAUCUCAUUUACAAUGCUUCUUGUAACAUCAUAUUGACAAAUCAAACCAUUGUAAACUCCCCAGAUUUAAAAUGGUAAUAUAAGUCAUUGGUACGUGCAUGUCUCGUGACCAAAUAUCAUAUCAUAUCAUGAAGCUUGUACAGUGAGUUAUUUUGAUGUGUCGAUUUACUGGGUUUGAGUGCUAUUUUUGAAUAUUCAUUUGAAAAAACUCAAACUCAAUGAGUGAGUUUUUUUUUUUUAAGUGAUUUUGUCACCUCACAAGAUAUGACACAUGACUUACAUAAGCUACUUUUAACAAGUUUUUGUGGGUGCCUUUUUUAAGAAUGUGUUUUGUGUUCAUCAAAAGUGAGUUAUAUGGGUUUGGAAUGACAUUUUUGAGUAAAUUAUUCCUCUGUUGUUACAGAUGGUUCAUGCUGGAAUAAUUGAAAAAUCAAAAAGAAAUGUGUUUGCGUAUAAAACCAUCAGUACAUUGUCAAGUUGGAUGAAAAGAGCUCUUGUUAACAUUUUUAGGACACAUAACAGACAUGGGUAAGCCACAUUUCCAUAUUUAAGAUUAUUGAUUGUCAUGCAUAACUUUUUGAUCAUUAAUAUUUGACUAUAUUUUAAUACAUGCGAAUAAUUCUACUCAUUCCUGCAGGUUCCGCGCUUAUAAUGCGAUGACUGUGUCAUUUGCACAUACUUUUGAGUCUUGCCUAUUUAAAGUGAAAGAGAACUCAAUUCAGUAGCCUACUAGCGCGCUCAGAUCACAAUAAACUGUGACAGCUUAAUUAUUAAGGGAGUUUGCAAAUAUGUUAUUGAUUUAAUACAAUAGUUUAAUAAAAAAGAAGUUAAUAUUAAAGGUAAUAUAUUACUUGCGUUGAAUUUGACAUAGAUGAUGACAUAACCUACUUUUAAUAAAAUUUGAAAAAUGCCAUUGCAAAUGUAAAAAAAAAAAAAAAAUGCCCCUGUAAAUCACUUUAAGGAGUCAAAUAUCACUUUUUUUUUAUUAUUGAUCAGAAGGUGCUCCUAAAAAGAAAAAGUAAGUGUAGAGCCCUGUGUAAUAGUAUAUUAGAUCCGUGCAUAAGGUCUUCUGCACCUACCUAUCGUCUGUCUGUCUGUCAUUACGGUCUAUUUAUACAGUGAAGACUAUUUAGUGUUAUUUUACAGUUGAAUAGAUUAUUCAGUUUCUGUAGUUAUUCAGUACCUAUAUAUUAUAGUUAGAACUAAAUGAAAAAAAAAUAAAGUACUGUUAAUUUCAUUUGUAUCUUGUUACUGUUUUUGUUUGUGCUAUUGCUUGUCAUUUAUUUAUUUGUUCUGAUUUUAUUACUUACUAUUAACUUGUCUUUUUAGUUAAAAUCAAUUCAAUUCUGAGUUUGAUUGCACAUGAUUCUUGGUCCAUGGGAAAUAGACAUGCCACCACAGCUGGAAAAAAUCCUAGAGGAAACACUGGCCUACAGUUGGAAGCAGCUAUUCUGCUCUUGCCUGCUCUGUUCAAGGAGGACCCGGGGUUGCUGUUUGAAGUUGAGGGCCAUUCUCAGACCAGCCCAUCCCAACACCUAAGAUGAAGCUUAAAGGCUGUAGGGAGGGUCAUCUCGUGCAGUAUGACCACAUUGUGCUCACUUUGGAUGGACAGUUAAUCACAGAGG